AGUGAACGCUGGCGGUAGGCCUAACACAUGCAAGUCGAACGGCAGCACAGUAAGAGCUUGCUCUUACGGGUGGCGGGUGGCGGACGGGUGAGGAAUACAUCGGAAUCUACUUUUUCGUGGGGGAUAACGUAGGGAAACUUACGCUAAUACCGCAUACGACCUACGGGUGGAAGCAGGGGAUCUUCGGACCUUGCGCGAUUGAAUGAGCCGAUGUCGGAUUAGCUAGUUGGCGGGGUAAAGGCCCACCAAGGCGACGAUCCGUAGCUGGUCUGAGAGGAUGAUCAGCCACACUGGAACUGAGACACGGUCCAGACUCCUACGGGAGGCAGCAGUGGGGAAUAUUGGACAAUGGGCGCAAGCCUGAUCCAGCCAUACCGCGUGGGUGAAGAAGGCCUUCGGGUUGUAAAGCCCUUUUGUUGGGAAAGAAAAGCAGCAGGUUAAUACCCCGCUGUUCUGACGGUACCCAAAGAAUAAGCACCGGCUAACUUCGUG
RNAcentral lists this ribosomal RNA (492 nucleotides) under uncultured bacterium. RNAcentral describes it as "partial 16S ribosomal RNA". It matches the Rfam family "Bacterial small subunit ribosomal RNA", at positions 29 to 507 of the family's 1533-position model. The record is from RNAcentral.